AGUGAACGCUGGCGGUAGGCCUAACACAUGCAAGUCGAACGGCAGCACAGUAAGAGCUUGCUCUUACGGGUGGCGAGUGGCGGACGGGCGAGGAAUACAUCGGAAUCUACUUUUUCGUGGGGGAUAACGUAGGGAAACUUACGCUAAUACCGCAUACGACCUACGGGUGAAAGCAGGGGAUCUUCGGACCUUGCGCGAUUGAAUGAGCCGAUGUCGGAUUAGCUAGUUGGCGGGGUAAAGGCCCACCAAGGCGACGAUCCGUAGCUGGUCUGAGAGGAUGAUCAGCCACACUGGAACUGAGACACGGUCCAGACUCCUACGGGAGGCAGCAGUGGGGAAUAUUGGACAAUGGGCGCAAGCCUGAUCCAGCCAUACCGCGUGGGUGAAGAAGGCCUUCGGGUUGUAAAGCCCUUUUGUUGGGAAAGAAAAGCAGCAGGUUAAUACCCCGCUGUCCUGACGGUACCCAAAGAAUAAGCACCGGCUAACUUCGUG
RNAcentral lists this ribosomal RNA (492 nucleotides) under uncultured bacterium. RNAcentral describes it as "partial 16S ribosomal RNA". It matches the Rfam family "Bacterial small subunit ribosomal RNA", at positions 29 to 507 of the family's 1533-position model. The record is from RNAcentral.